Molecule: long non-coding RNA, 1297 nt
Organism: Phascolarctos cinereus (koala)
Lineage: Eukaryota; Metazoa; Chordata; Mammalia; Diprotodontia; Phascolarctidae
Source: RefSeq, a predicted model, not a curated record
GUGCCAAAGGACUACACACUCAGCUUAUGGAUUAGACCACAAUCACUGAACAGAAUUAAAAAGCCUUUUAGAGUUCUCCACUGCCCAACUUGACUACUGCAGCAAGUCUGGACUUCCAGAUCCCCAGGGACUGCAGCCAUUCCUCCUUCAAGAUGGGAAAAAUACAGAAAAAAUGAGAAGAAAGAAGAGUCAACCCAAGCCAUUUCAAACACUGGUUACAUAAAGAAAAGUGUCCUAACAAGGACAGUUGCUCCAAAGCUGGAAUGGGCUGCCUUGAGAAGAAGAGGAUUCUGGCUUACUGGAAGUCUCCAAGCAGAGGGUGGAGAACCAUGGGCAGAUGAGAGGUGGGCAGCCAUGGGGCCUCAACACAUCCUAAGGAGGUCCAGGAAGAUCCAGAGACACCCUGAGAGUUCAGUCAAAAUCCAGGGAGACUCAGAAGCUUGGAGGAGCCUCAGAGAGACCUGUGGAGAGGCAGAUGGCCCAGAGCGAUGUUGGCAGUGCCAGGAACUGCGGGAAAUGAAGAGAAACCCAAAGACAGUCUGUUGUACCCAGAGAGACCCAGGAAGCUCUUGGGAGACUUAGGGGGGCCCAGGGAGUCUCCUGCCCAGCGGGUCUGCUAGCUCCUUACAGGUUGGGGAUUCUGAACCUUGCCAGCUUGUUGCAACUGGAAUUGAAGAAACCCUCCUACUAUGCCUGAGAUGCCAACACUUCUACUGAGGUGCUGAAGGUCUACCCAAUCUGGGCCUCAGCCUUGCUUCUCUUCUCCCACCCCUCCACCUCUCCUGCCCAGCACCAUCAACCUGGGAUCACUGUUGCCUUGGAUCAGCAUAGUCUGCCCAGAGACCAGUGACAUCAUCCCCUUCCUCCAGGACUCAGGAGAGCAGGGACAUCACACUCCUUUCUGACACUCACUGAUCAGUGACAUCACUCCUUCCCCGUGGAAAUCAGUCUGCCUGUUCAGAUGUCUUGAGAGGACCCAGGGGCUGCUGACUUAUCCAUUUGGGAAGAAUGGGAGUGAGCCAGGCCAAGCACUCUGAAGCUUCAGUUCUGAGCCCAUGUUAAAAAUGGCCCAGUUGAAUAAAGGAUGCCCUGGGGCAAGCUACAGACUCCCCUCUGUUUCAGGCUGAGGCAUCUGGGCCUACCAGCCUGCUACUUCUUUAAGGGCCAACAUGUGCUGGACCCAGCCUUGGCCUCGGGAAUCCAGGUCCCCUACACCCGCCCCUCAAAUAACAGGAAUAAUGAAGCAGAGAUGUACUUUUUUAAAUUAAAUUUUAUUUUUCAAUCAGUAAAAAUCUAC